CUUAUGAAGAGUUUGAUCCUGGCUCAGAGCGAACGCUGGCGGCACGCCUAACACAUGCAAGUCGAGCGAGAAAGUGACUUCGGUCGCGAGUAAAGCGGCGAACGGGUGAGUACAACGUGGAUAAUCUACCCUAGGGUCUGGGACAACCCCGAGAAAUCGGGGCUAAUACCGGAUAAGACCACAGUAUCCAAGGAUACAGCGGUAAAAGAUUUAUCGCCUUUGGAUGAGUCCACGCCCCAUCAGGUAGUUGGUAAGGUAAAGGCUUACCAAGCCUAAGACGGGUAGCCGGCCUUAGCGGGUGAACGGCCACAUGGGGACUGAGACACGGCCCUGACUCCUACGGGAGGCAGCAGUGGGGAAUAUUGGGCAAUGGGCGAAAGCCUGACCCAGCGAUGCCGCGUGAGGGAUGAAGGCCUUCGGGUUGUAAACCUCUGUCAGGAGGGACGAUGGGACACUUGUGUCUUGACGGUACCUCCAGAGGAAGCCCCGGCUAACUCCGUGCCAGCAGCCGCGGUAAUACGGAGGGGGCAA
Molecule: ribosomal RNA, 531 nt
Filed under: Candidatus Dadabacteria bacterium
Lineage: Bacteria; Pseudomonadati; Thermodesulfobacteriota; Candidatus Dadabacteria
Description: bacterial SSU rRNA
Rfam family: Bacterial small subunit ribosomal RNA
Source: RNAcentral